GCGGGGCCUUCGAUGCCUGCCGAACCUUCUAGAAUCCCUAGAACCUCAGAGCGCAGGCGCGCCGGCACGCGCACGCGCGCGCAGAGACCCUCGGGAGUUGGCCACGCCCACGCAGACAUCCUUGGGGACGUGCCCCUGCUGUGAGAAGCGCGACUGUGGUGCGGAGGGUCCUCCUGCUCCCCUGCUGCGGCUGUGCCUCCGAACCCCGCUGUGCCCACGGUCUCCGGCCGCGCCAGCCCAGGGUUCCAGAAGGUUCAAGUUCAAGAAAUGAUGCUUCUCUGUGCCUUGCUCCUAGCCGUUGGCUGGCUGCAGGUCACUGAUGGAGAGGCACCUUGGGCCUAUCAUAUGAAAUGCUACAACUGUUGGAUGAUCAACAACUUCUUUUGUGCAGAAACUAGAGCAUGUCCCAUAAAUCUCAGGCGCUGCAUGACAAUCUCUGCUCGUUUGAAUGACCGGGAAAUACUUGUUUACAAGAACUGUACAAACAACUGCACCUUUGUAUAUCCAUCCGAAGUACCUCCUGAAGCCCCAAGAUCCAAAUAUUUCAAAACCAAUAGUUUCUAUUUUGUUCGUUGUUGUAACACUAUUAAUUGCAAUGAAGGAGGACCUCUUAUCCUGGAUAAGGAUAUUCUACCCGAUUAUACCAUUGAGGAGGCAUUAGAGGGAACUGUGCGCCUGGGAGAAUCAACAUUUUUCCUGAGCGUUGCCUCCAUCCUAGUCAGCAAUACACUGACAUGAGAAGCCCUCUUGGAGGGCCUGAUCUCUCCCCCCAUUCCUCAGAGCAAGUUCACUCUCCUUUCCUCCCUUGUGACCCGGGGACCCUGACCCACAUGCCUCCCAGUUGGCCGGUUACCCCUUUUCAGCUUAUUUCAAGAGAGAAAUAAAGAACAUCAUUGUUUGGGU
Molecule: long non-coding RNA, 903 nt
Organism: Zalophus californianus (California sea lion)
Lineage: Eukaryota; Metazoa; Chordata; Mammalia; Carnivora; Otariidae
Exons: 4
Source: RefSeq, a predicted model, not a curated record